UUAAGCGACUAAGCGUACACGGUGGAUGCCCUGGCAGUCAGAGGCGAUGAAGGACGUGCUAAUCUGCGAAAAGCGUCGGUAAGGUGAUAUGAACCGUUACAGCCGGCGAUGUCCGAAUGGGGAAACCCAGUGCAAUUCGUUGCACUAUCGUUAACUGAAUACAUAGGUUAACGAGGCGAACCGGGGGAACUGAAACAUCUAAGUACCCCGAGGAAAAGAAAUCAACCGAGAUUCCCCCAGUAGCGGCGAGCGAACGGGGAGCAGCCCAGAGUCUGAAUCAGCUUGUGUGUUAGUGGAACGGUCUGGAAAGUCCGACGGUACAGGGUGAUAGUCCCGUACACCAAAAUGCACAGGUUGUGAACUCGAAGAGUAGGGCGGGACACGUGGUAUCCUGUCUGAAUAUGGGGGGACCAUCCUCCAAGGCUAAAUACUCCUGACUGACCGAUAGUGAACCAGUACCGUGAGGGAAAGGCGAAAAGAACCCCGGCGAGGGGAGUGAAAAAGAACCUGAAACCGUGUACGUACAAGCAGUGGGAGCACCUUCGGGUGUGACUGCGUACCUUUUGUAUAAUGGGUCAGCGACUUAUAUUCUGUAGCAAGGUUAACCGUAUAGGGGAGCCGCAGGGAAACCGAGUCUUAACUGGGCGUUAAGUUGCAGGGUAUAGACCCGAAACCCGGUGAUCUAGCCAUGGGCAGGUUGAAGGUUGGGUAACACUAACUGGAGGACCGAACCGACUAAUGUUGAAAAAUUAGCGGAUGACUUGUGGCUGGGGGUGAAAGGCCAAUCAAACCGGGAGAUAGCUGGUUCUCCCCGAAAGCUAUUUAGGUAGCGCCUCGUGAACUCAUCUUCGGGGGUAGAGCACUGUUUCGGCUAGGGGGUCAUCCCGACUUACCAACCCGAUGCAAACUACGAAUACCGAAGAAUGUUAUCACGGGAGACACACGGCGGGUGCUAACGUCCGUCGUGAAGAGGGAAACAACCCAGACCGCCAGCUAAGGUCCCAAAGUCAUGGUUAAGUGGGAAACGAUGUGGGAAGGCACAGACAGCCAGGAUGUUGGCUUAGAAGCAGCCAUCAUUUAAAGAAAGCGUAAUAGCUCACUGGUCGAGUCGGCCUGCGCGGAAGAUGUAACGGGGCUAAACCAUGCACCGAAGCUGCGGCAGCGACACUAUGUGUUGUUGGGUAGGGGAGCGUUCUGUAAGCCUGCGAAGGUGUGCUGUGAGGCAUGCUGGAGGUAUCAGAAGUGCGAAUGCUGACAUAAGUAACGAUAAAGCGGGUGAAAAGCCCGCUCGCCGGAAGACCAAGGGUUCCUGUCCAACGUUAAUCGGGGCAGGGUGAGUCGACCCCUAAGGCGAGGCCGAAAGGCGUAGUCGAUGGGAAACAGGUUAAUAUUCCUGUACUUGGUGUUACUGCGAAGGGGGGACGGAGAAGGCUAUGUUAGCCGGGCGACGGUUGUCCCGGUUUAAGCAUGUAGGCUGGUUGUCCAGGCAAAUCCGGAUAAUCAAGGCUGAGGUGUGAUGACGAGGCACUACGGUGCUGAAGUAACAAAUGCCCUGCUUCCAGGAAAAGCCUCUAAGCAUCAGGUAACAUCAAAUCGUACCCCAAACCGACACAGGUGGUCAGGUAGAGAAUACCAAGGCGCUUGAGAGAACUCGGGUGAAGGAACUAGGCAAAAUGGUGCCGUAACUUCGGGAGAAGGCACGCUGGUGUGUAGGUGAAGUCCCUGCGGAUGGAGCUGAGACCAGUCGAAGAUACCAGCUGGCUGCAACUGUUUAUUAAAAACACAGCACUGUGCAAACACGAAAGUGGACGUAUACGGUGUGACGCCUGCCCGGUGCCGGAAGGUUAAUUGAUGGGGUUAUCCGUAAGGAGAAGCUCUUGAUCGAAGCCCCGGUAAACGGCGGCCGUAACUAUAACGGUCCUAAGGUAGCGAAAUUCCUUGUCGGGUAAGUUCCGACCUGCACGAAUGGCGUAAUGAUGGCCAGGCUGUCUCCACCCGAGACUCAGUGAAAUUGAACUCGCUGUGAAGAUGCAGUGUACCCGCGGCAAGACGGAAAGACCCCGUGAACCUUUACUAUAGCUUGACACUGAACAUUGAGCCUUGAUGUGUAGGAUAGGUGGGAGGCUUUGAAGCGUGGACGCCAGUCUGCGUGGAGCCAACCUUGAAAUACCACCCUUUAAUGUUUGAUGUUCUAACGUUGGCCCCUGACCGGGGUUGCGGACAGUGUCUGGUGGGUAGUUUGACUGGGGCGGUCUCCUCCCAAAGCGUAACGGAGGAGCACGAAGGUUAGCUAAUCCUGGUCGGACAUCAGGAGGUUAGUGCAAUGGCAUAAGCUAGCUUGACUGCGAGCGUGACGGCGCGAGCAGGUGCGAAAGCAGGUCAUAGUGAUCCGGUGGUUCUGAAUGGAAGGGCCAUCGCUCAACGGAUAAAAGGUACUCCGGGGAUAACAGGCUGAUACCGCCCAAGAGUUCAUAUCGACGGCGGUGUUUGGCACCUCGAUGUCGGCUCAUCACAUCCUGGGGCUGAAGUAGGUCCCAAGGGUAUGGCUGUUCGCCAUUUAAAGUGGUACGCGAGCUGGGUUUAGAACGUCGUGAGACAGUUCGGUCCCUAUCUGCCGUGGGCGCUGGAGAAUUGAGGGGGGCUGCUCCUAGUACGAGAGGACCGGAGUGGACGCAUCACUGGUGUUCGGGUUGUCAUGCCAAUGGCACUGCCCGGUAGCUAAAUGCGGAAGAGAUAAGUGCUGAAAGCAUCUAAGCACGAAACUUGCCCCGAGAUGAGUUCUCCCUGAGACUAUAAGUCUCCUGAAGGAACGUUAAAGACGAUGACGUUGAUAGGCCGGGUGUGUAAGCGCAGCGAUGCGUUGAGCUAACCGGUACUAAUGAACCGUGAGGCUUAACCUU
Molecule: ribosomal RNA, 2900 nt
Filed under: Klebsiella pneumoniae UCI 61
Lineage: Bacteria; Pseudomonadati; Pseudomonadota; Gammaproteobacteria; Enterobacterales; Enterobacteriaceae
Description: bacterial LSU rRNA
Rfam family: Bacterial large subunit ribosomal RNA
Source: RNAcentral